Molecule: non-coding RNA, 590 nt
Organism: Oncorhynchus mykiss (rainbow trout)
Lineage: Eukaryota; Metazoa; Chordata; Actinopteri; Salmoniformes; Salmonidae
Source: RefSeq, a predicted model, not a curated record
GAACCAGCCAAGCUUGGUGAUCCUGGAGGAGACAAACACGGAGAGAAUUACUCACAUGGAGGAGAGACGGAUGAGGAGGAGGAGAGAGGACAGCGAAGAGACGUUUACCUGGAGUACAGCUGGAUCAGAGCCUGGGUUCAAAUCAACCCAAGAUGAACACUGAAGAUGGAACUCAACCUGUUCUCAACCACUACUUUGCCCCAUUCUUCCAAGAGCUCACAGAGUUUGAAUGAAGACCCCUGGAGAGGGGUGAGAAGAGCUGACAAAUCCAAACUGAGGAUGAUUGUUCCGGAGCCCCAUGAGGAACACCUGACACGUCGCUGACUUCUCGCUUCUGUCCAAAUGGUCCCGUUGUGGGUUUCACUGCCUCUGCCCCUUACCCCAAAUAGAGUUGCCUCUGAUAGAUCUAGGAUUGUACCCAAUCCCAAUUGUAACUCUGUCUCUCCCCCCACAGCACACCCCAAAUAUAUUUUUUAAAUGAGUGUGGUAAUGAUGCUCCUAUUUGGUUAAAUGUGUUAACUGUUGUUACUUCUUUUGCCAAUUCCGUUAAUUUGCUGUUACCAAUUUGAAUAAAUGCAUGUACAAAUGUA